GGUUAAGCGACUAAGCGUACACGGUGGAUGCCCUGGCAGUCAGAGGCGAUGAAGGACGUGCUAAUCUGCGAUAAGCGUCGGUAAGGUGAUAUGAACCGUUAUAACCGGCGAUUUCCGAAUGGGGAAACCCAGUGUGUUUCGACACACUAUCAUUAACUGAAUCCAUAGGUUAAUGAGGCGAACCGGGGGAACUGAAACAUCUAAGUACCCCGAGGAAAAGAAAUCAACCGAGAUUCCCCCAGUAGCGGCGAGCGAACGGGGAGCAGCCCAGAGCCUGAAUCAGUGUGUGUGUUAGUGGAAGCGUCUGGAAAGGCGCGCGAUACAGGGUGACAGCCCCGUACACAAAAAUGCACAUGCUGUGAGCUCGAUGAGUAGGGCGGGACACGUGGUAUCCUGUCUGAAUAUGGGGGGACCAUCCUCCAAGGCUAAAUACUCCUGACUGACCGAUAGUGAACCAGUACCGUGAGGGAAAGGCGAAAAGAACCCCGGCGAGGGGAGUGAAAAAGAACCUGAAACCGUGUACGUACAAGCAGUGGGAGCACGCUUAGGCGUGUGACUGCGUACCUUUUGUAUAAUGGGUCAGCGACUUAUAUUCUGUAGCAAGGUUAACCGAAUAGGGGAGCCGAAGGGAAACCGAGUCUUAACUGGGCGUUAAGUUGCAGGGUAUAGACCCGAAACCCGGUGAUCUAGCCAUGGGCAGGUUGAAGGUUGGGUAACACUAACUGGAGGACCGAACCGACUAAUGUUGAAAAAUUAGCGGAUGACUUGUGGCUGGGGGUGAAAGGCCAAUCAAACCGGGAGAUAGCUGGUUCUCCCCGAAAGCUAUUUAGGUAGCGCCUCGUGAAUUCAUCUCCGGGGGUAGAGCACUGUUUCGGCAAGGGGGUCAUCCCGACUUACCAACCCGAUGCAAACUGCGAAUACCGGAGAAUGUUAUCACGGGAGACACACGGCGGGUGCUAACGUCCGUCGUGAAGAGGGAAACAACCCAGACCGCCAGCUAAGGUCCCAAAGUCAUGGUUAAGUGGGAAACGAUGUGGGAAGGCCCAGACAGCCAGGAUGUUGGCUUAGAAGCAGCCAUCAUUUAAAGAAAGCGUAAUAGCUCACUGGUCGAGUCGGCCUGCGCGGAAGAUGUAACGGGGCUAAACCAUGCACCGAAGCUGCGGCAGCGACGCUUAUGCGUUGUUGGGUAGGGGAGCGUUCUGUAAGCCUGCGAAGGUGUGCUGUGAGGCAUGCUGGAGGUAUCAGAAGUGCGAAUGCUGACAUAAGUAACGAUAAAGCGGGUGAAAAGCCCGCUCGCCGGAAGACCAAGGGUUCCUGUCCAACGUUAAUCGGGGCAGGGUGAGUCGACCCCUAAGGCGAGGCCGAAAGGCGUAGUCGAUGGGAAACAGGUUAAUAUUCCUGUACUUGGUGUUACUGCGAAGGGGGGACGGAGAAGGCUAUGUUGGCCGGGCGACGGUUGUCCCGGUUUAAGCGUGUAGGCUGGUUUUCCAGGCAAAUCCGGAAAAUCAAGGCUGAGGCGUGAUGACGAGGCACUACGGUGCUGAAGCAACAAAUGCCCUGCUUCCAGGAAAAGCCUCUAAGCAUCAGGUAACAUCAAAUCGUACCCCAAACCGACACAGGUGGUCAGGUAGAGAAUACCAAGGCGCUUGAGAGAACUCGGGUGAAGGAACUAGGCAAAAUGGUGCCGUAACUUCGGGAGAAGGCACGCUGAUAUGUAGGUGAAGCGACUUGCUCGUGGAGCUGAAAUCAGUCGAAGAUACCAGCUGGCUGCAACUGUUUAUUAAAAACACAGCACUGUGCAAACACGAAAGUGGACGUAUACGGUGUGACGCCUGCCCGGUGCCGGAAGGUUAAUUGAUGGGGUUAGCGCAAGCGAAGCUCUUGAUCGAAGCCCCGGUAAACGGCGGCCGUAACUAUAACGGUCCUAAGGUAGCGAAAUUCCUUGUCGGGUAAGUUCCGACCUGCACGAAUGGCGUAAUGAUGGCCAGGCUGUCUCCACCCGAGACUCAGUGAAAUUGAACUCGCUGUGAAGAUGCAGUGUACCCGCGGCAAGACGGAAAGACCCCGUGAACCUUUACUAUAGCUUGACACUGAACAUUGAGCCUUGAUGUGUAGGAUAGGUGGGAGGCUUUGAAGUGUGGACGCCAGUCUGCAUGGAGCCGACCUUGAAAUACCACCCUUUAAUGUUUGAUGUUCUAACGUUGACCCGUAAUCCGGGUUGCGGACAGUGUCUGGUGGGUAGUUUGACUGGGGCGGUCUCCUCCUAAAGAGUAACGGAGGAGCACGAAGGUUGGCUAAUCCUGGUCGGACAUCAGGAGGUUAGUGCAAUGGCAUAAGCCAGCUUGACUGCGAGCGUGACGGCGCGAGCAGGUGCGAAAGCAGGUCAUAGUGAUCCGGUGGUUCUGAAUGGAAGGGCCAUCGCUCAACGGAUAAAAGGUACUCCGGGGAUAACAGGCUGAUACCGCCCAAGAGUUCAUAUCGACGGCGGUGUUUGGCACCUCGAUGUCGGCUCAUCACAUCCUGGGGCUGAAGUAGGUCCCAAGGGUAUGGCUGUUCGCCAUUUAAAGUGGUACGCGAGCUGGGUUUAGAACGUCGUGAGACAGUUCGGUCCCUAUCUGCCGUGGGCGCUGGAGAACUGAGGGGGGCUGCUCCUAGUACGAGAGGACCGGAGUGGACGCAUCACUGGUGUUCGGGUUGUCAUGCCAAUGGCACUGCCCGGUAGCUAAAUGCGGAAGAGAUAAGUGCUGAAAGCAUCUAAGCACGAAACUUGCCCCGAGAUGAGUUCUCCCUGACCCUUUAAGGGUCCUGAAGGAACGUUGAAGACGACGACGUUGAUAGGCCGGGUGUGUAAGCGCAGCGAUGCGUUGAGCUAACCGGUACUAAUGAACCGUGAGGCUUAACCUUACAACGCCGAA
RNAcentral lists this ribosomal RNA (2915 nucleotides) under uncultured bacterium. RNAcentral's name for it is "LSU rRNA". It matches the Rfam family "Bacterial large subunit ribosomal RNA". The record is from RNAcentral.